UCAAGCUGGAAAGAGCGCAAGGGGAAUGCCUUGGCAUCAGGAGCCGAAGAAGGACGUGACAAGCUGCGAAAAGCCUCGGGGAGGAGCAAAUAUCCAUUGAUCCGGGGAUAUCCGAAUGGGGCAACCCGGCUGGACAAUAUCCAGUCAUCCUGCGUUGAACAAAAUAGGCGUAGGAAGGGAACCGCCUGAACUGAAACAUCUAAGUAGGGCGAGGAAGAGACAUCAACCGAGAUUCCGCAAGUAGUGGCGAGCGAACGCGGAAGAGGCCAAACCGAGGGAUUUAUUCCUCGGGGUUGCGGACAGUCAUUUAGCGGAAGUUAUCUAGGAGAAGGGUCUGGGAAGGCCCGCCACAGAGGGUGAGAGCCCCGUAUCCGAAAGAGAAGGCCGUGCGACUGAAUCCAGAGUACCGCGGGACACGUGAAACCCCGUGGGAAACAGGGGGGACCACCCUCCAAGCCUAAAUACUACCUGAUGACCGAUAGAGGAGCAGUACCGUGAGGGAAAGGUGAAAAGGACCCCGGGAGGGGAGUGAAAGAGAACCUGAAACCUUGUGCUUACAAGCAGUCAAAGCACGUUAACGUGUGAUGACGUACUUUUUGUAGAACGGUCCGGCGAGUUAUAGUAACGAGCAAGCUUAAGGUAUUGAGUACCGGAGGCGAAGCGAGAGCGAGUCUGAAUAGGGCGUAAAGUUCGUUGCCAUAGACCCGAAACCGGGUGACCUAUCCAUGAGCAGGCUGAAGUGAGAGUAAAAUCUCAUGGAGGGCCGAACCGACCCCCGUUGCAAUGGUGGCGGAUGACUUGUGGAUAGCGGAGAAAUUCCAAUCGAACUCGGAGAUAGCUGGUUCUCCCCGAAAUAGCUUUAGGGCUAGCGUUAUGUUAGAUUACCGGAGGUAAAGCACUGAAUGGUGGCGGGGCCGAUAAGGUUACCAAGACCUAUCAAACUCUGAAUGCCGGAUAAUUGAUGCAUAGCAGUCAGACAGCGUGAGAUAAGUUUCGUUGUCAAAAGGGAAACAGCCCAGACCCACAGCUAAGGUCCCAAAUUCAUGCUAAGUGGAAAACGAUGUGGAAUUGCGAAAACAACCAGGAUGUUGGCUUAGAAGCAGCCACUCAUUAAAAGAGUGCGUAAUAGCUCACUGGUCGAGUGACUCUGCGCGGAAAAUAUAACGGGGCUAAGCAUGAAACCGAAGCUUGGGCUUGUCGUAAGACAGGGGUAGGGGAGCGUCGAGUAUGGGGUGAAGUCAGAGCGGAAGCACUGGUGGACUGUACUGGAGUGAGAAUGCCGGAAUGAGUAGCGAGAAUUAUGUGGGAAUCAUAAUGGCCGAAAAUCUAAGGUUUCUUGGGGAAGGUUCGUCCGCCCAAGGUAAGUCGGGAGCUAAGCUCAGGCCGAGAGGCGUAGGCGAUGCACAUACGGUAGAAAUUCCGUAACCACCGAAACUUAAACAGAGGGACACUUCGAAAUAGCGGAACCCGGGCGUUGGUUGACCCGGGCGAAAGGGAGCGAAAUUAGAGUAGCGAAGUCCGCGAUGUUCGGAGGCGAGAAAAGCUCUGAGGUAUGCUAAGGUGCCCGUACCGCAAACCGACACAGGUAGAUGAGGAGAGAAUCCUAAGGCCAACGGGAGAAGGGUUGUUAAGGAACUCGGCAAAUUGACCCCGUAACUUCGGAAGAAGGGGAGCCCCCUACGGGGGGUCGCAGAGAAAUGGCCCAAGCAACUGUUUACCAAAAACACAGGUCUAUGCUAAAUCGAAAGAUGACGUAUAUGGGCUGACGCCUGCCCGGUGCCGGAAGGUUAAGAGGAGAUGUCAGGCAACGAAGCAUUGAAUUUAAGCCCCGGUAAACGGCGGCCGUAACUAUAACGGUCCUAAGGUAGCGAAAUUCCUUGUCAGGUAAGUUCUGACCCGCACGAAUGG
This 1908-nucleotide ribosomal RNA is filed under the name human gut metagenome. RNAcentral describes it as "bacterial LSU rRNA". It matches the Rfam family "Bacterial large subunit ribosomal RNA", at positions 3 to 1999 of the family's 2925-position model. The record is from RNAcentral.